AAAACCCUUUGCCACUGCCUAGGCUGAGCCGAACGUCUACCCCCAGAUCCUCUCGACAUCCAAGCCCGGUGCCACUGCCCAGGCACACAGCAAAGUCUACCCCCAACUUUCCACGGCCAAUGGAGCAUGGCACCGAGAAGGCAACACCCAGAUCCUCUCAACAUGCAAGCCCGGUGC
Molecule: long non-coding RNA, 177 nt
Organism: Epinephelus moara (kelp grouper)
Lineage: Eukaryota; Metazoa; Chordata; Actinopteri; Perciformes; Serranidae
Exons: 4
Source: RefSeq, a predicted model, not a curated record